Molecule: ribosomal RNA, 497 nt
Filed under: uncultured bacterium
Lineage: Bacteria
Description: partial 16S ribosomal RNA
Rfam family: Bacterial small subunit ribosomal RNA
Source: RNAcentral
GAUGAACGCUGGCGGCGUGCCUAAUACAUGCAAGUCGAGCGAACGGACGAGAAGCUUGCUUCUCUGAUGUUAGCGGCGGACGGGUGAGUAACACGUGUAUAACCUACCUAUAAGAUUGGGAUAACUUCGGGAAACCGGAGCUAAUACCGGAUAAUAUUUUGAACCGCAUGGUUCAAAAGUGAAAGACGGUCUUGCUGUCACUUAUAGCUGGAUCCGCGCUGCAUUAGCUAGUUGGUAAGGUAACGGCUUACCAAGGCAACGAUGCAUAGCCGACCUGAGAGGGUGAUCGGCCACACUGGAACUGAGACACGGACCAGACUACUACGGGAGGCAGCAGUAGGGAAUCUUCCGCAAUGGGCGAAAGCCUGACGGAGCAACGCCGCGUGAGUGAUGAAGGUCUUCGGAUCGUAAAACUCUGUUAUGAGGGAAGAACAUAUGUGUAAGUAACUGUGCACAUCUUGACGGUAACUAAUCAGAAAGCCACGGCUAACUACGUG